AAGUCGUAACAAGGUCUCCGUUGGUGAACCAGCGGAGGGAUCAUUACCGAGUUUACAACUCCCAAACCCCUGUGAACAUACCGUUUCGUUGCCUCGGCGGGAGGCCCCGGGGGGCGGCGGACACUCGUGUCUGCCCGCCCUCUCGGACCCCAUGGCUGCCCGCCGGAGGACCCAAACCAAACUCUUGUAUCUUUUGAGAAUUCAUACUCUGAGUAAACAUGGCGAAAGCCGAAAAUAAAUCAAAACUUUCAACAACGGAUCUCUUGGCUCUG
RNAcentral lists this unclassified non-coding RNA (272 nucleotides) under air metagenome. Its description in RNAcentral is "partial contains small subunit ribosomal RNA, internal transcribed spacer 1, and 5.8S ribosomal RNA". The stretch from base 1 to 46 matches the Rfam family "Eukaryotic small subunit ribosomal RNA", at positions 1786 to 1831 of the family's 1831-position model. The record is from RNAcentral.